Molecule: ribosomal RNA, 167 nt
Filed under: uncultured bacterium
Lineage: Bacteria
Description: partial 16S rRNA
Rfam family: Bacterial small subunit ribosomal RNA
Source: RNAcentral
CAGUAGGGAAACUUCCACAAUGGACGAAAGUCUGAUGGAGCAACGCCGCGUGAGUGAAGAAGGGUUUCGGCUCGUAAAACUCUGUUGUUAAAGAAGAACAUAUCUGAGAGUAACUGUUCAGGUAUUGACGGUAUUUAACCAGAAAGCCACGGCUAACUACGUGCCAG